GUGAAUUUGUAUCGUAUAGAUUAUGUGAU
This 29-nucleotide non-coding RNA is filed under the name Trypanosoma brucei brucei. Lineage: Eukaryota; Euglenozoa; Kinetoplastea; Trypanosomatida; Trypanosomatidae. The record is from RNAcentral.